Molecule: ribosomal RNA, 444 nt
Filed under: Escherichia coli
Lineage: Bacteria; Pseudomonadati; Pseudomonadota; Gammaproteobacteria; Enterobacterales; Enterobacteriaceae
Description: bacterial SSU rRNA
Rfam family: Bacterial small subunit ribosomal RNA
Source: RNAcentral
ACAGGUGCUGCAUGGCUGUCGUCAGCUCGUGUUGUGAAAUGUUGGGUUAAGUCCCGCAACGAGCGCAACCCUUAUCCUUUGUUGCCAGCGGUCCGGCCGGGAACUCAAAGGAGACUGCCAGUGAUAAACUGGAGGAAGGUGGGGAUGACGUCAAGUCAUCAUGGCCCUUACGACCAGGGCUACACACGUGCUACAAUGGCGCAUACAAAGAGAAGCGACCUCGCGAGAGCAAGCGGACCUCAUAAAGUGCGUCGUAGUCCGGAUUGGAGUCUGCAACUCGACUCCAUGAAGUCGGAAUCGCUAGUAAUCGUGGAUCAGAAUGCCACGGUGAAUACGUUCCCGGGCCUUGUACACACCGCCCGUCACACCAUGGGAGUGGGUUGCAAAAGAAGUAGGUAGCUUAACCUUCGGGAGGGCGCUUACCACUUUGUGAUUCAUGACUGG